This 253-nucleotide ribosomal RNA is filed under the name uncultured bacterium. RNAcentral describes it as "partial 16S ribosomal RNA". It matches the Rfam family "Bacterial small subunit ribosomal RNA", at positions 524 to 776 of the family's 1533-position model. The record is from RNAcentral.
GACGUAGGGGGCGAGCGUUGUCCGGAUUUAUUGGGCGUAAAGCGUGCGUAGGCGGCUGCGCAAGGCGGUUGUGAAAGCCCGGGGCUCAACCCCGGAACUGCAUUCGAUACUGCGUGGCUAGAGGUAGGUAGGGGAGAUCGGAAUUCCUGGUGUAGCGGUGAAAUGCGCAGAUAUCAGGAGGAACACCGGUGGCGAAGGCGGAUCUCUGGGCCGUACCUGACGCUCAGGCACGAAAGCUAGGGGAGCGAACAGG